GAAAAUAUAGUACAGAAUAGUACAUUUUAUUUACAAUAAAUCAGCCCAAUUAAUGGUAUUUUCU
RNAcentral lists this transfer RNA (64 nucleotides) under Physa fontinalis. RNAcentral describes it as "tRNA-Val". Lineage: Eukaryota; Metazoa; Mollusca; Gastropoda; Physidae. The record is from RNAcentral.